UGGGGAAUUUUCCGCAAUGGGCGAAAGCCUGACGGAGCAAGACCGCGUGGGGGAGGAAGGCCCUUGGGUUGUAAACCUCUUUUCUCAGGGAAGAAGAAAGUGACGGUACCUGAGGAAUCAGCCUCGGCUAACUACGUGCCAGCAGCCGCGGUAAUACGGAGGGAGCUAGCGUUGUUCGGAAUUACUGGGCGUAAAGCGCGCGUAGGCGGCCAUUCAAGUCAGGGGUGAAAUCCCGGGGCUCAACCCCGGAACUGCCCUUGAAGCUAGGUGGCUAGAAUACUGGAGAGGUGAGUGGAAUUCCGAGUGUAGAGGUGAAAUUCGUAGAUAUUCGGAAGAACACCAGUGGCGAAGGCGACUCACUGGACAGUUAUUGACGCUGAGGUGCGAAAGCGUGGGGAGCAAACAGGAUUAGAUACCCCCGUAGUCC
Molecule: ribosomal RNA, 427 nt
Filed under: uncultured prokaryote
Description: bacterial SSU rRNA
Rfam family: Bacterial small subunit ribosomal RNA
Source: RNAcentral